UGAGGAAUAUUGGACAAUGGGCGCAAGCCUGAUCCAGCCAUGCCGCGUGAGUGAUGAAGGCCUUCGGGUUGUAAAGCUCUUUCAGAUGCGAAGAUAAUGACGGUAACAUCAGAAGAAGCCCCGGCUAAAUUCGUGCCAGCAGCCGCGGUAAUACGAAUGGGGCAAGCGUUGUUCGGAAUCACUGGGCUUAAAGCGUGCGCAGGCGGUCAUGAAAGUCAGAAGUGAAAUCCCAGGGCUUAACCCUGGAAUUGCUUUUGAAACUCCAUGACUAGAAUACUGGAGAGGUUAGCAGAAUUCCGAGUGUAGAGGUGAAAUUCGCAGAUAUUCGGAGGAAUACCAAUGGCGAAGGCAGCUAACUGGACAGUAAUUGACGCUCAGGCACGAAAGCGUGGGUAGCAAACAGG
RNAcentral lists this ribosomal RNA (404 nucleotides) under uncultured bacterium. RNAcentral's name for it is "bacterial SSU rRNA". It matches the Rfam family "Bacterial small subunit ribosomal RNA", at positions 355 to 776 of the family's 1533-position model. The record is from RNAcentral.